UGUAAUCUUUAAAAGUGCUAUCCAUCCAUC
This 30-nucleotide non-coding RNA is filed under the name Rattus norvegicus (Norway rat). Lineage: Eukaryota; Metazoa; Chordata; Mammalia; Rodentia; Muridae. The record is from RNAcentral.